CCUACGGGUGGCAGCAGUGGGGAAUAUUGCACAAUGGGGGGAACCCUGAUGCAGCAAUGCCGCGUGGGUGAAGAAGCACUCCGGUGCGUAAAGCCCUGUCAGCAGGGAAGAAAAUGACAGUACCUGACCAAGAAGCCCCGGCUAACUACGUGCCAGCAGCCGCGGUAAUACGUAGGGGGCAAGCGUUAUCCGGAUUUACUGGGUGUAAAGGGAGCGCAGGCGGAAGAUCAAGUCAGCGGUAAAAUUGAGAGGCUCAACCUCUUCGAGCCGUUGAAACUGGUUUUCUUGAGUGAGCGAGAAGUAUGCGGAAUGCGUGGUGUAGCGGUGAAAUGCAUAGAUAUCACGCAGAACUCCGAUUGCGAAGGCAGCAUACCGGCGCUCAACUGACGCUCAUGCACGAAAGUGUGGGUAUCGAACAGGAUUAGAUACCCCUGUAGUC
RNAcentral lists this ribosomal RNA (439 nucleotides) under uncultured bacterium. RNAcentral describes it as "partial 16S ribosomal RNA". It matches the Rfam family "Bacterial small subunit ribosomal RNA", at positions 338 to 795 of the family's 1533-position model. The record is from RNAcentral.